Molecule: non-coding RNA, 23 nt
Filed under: Arabidopsis thaliana (thale cress)
Lineage: Eukaryota; Viridiplantae; Streptophyta; Magnoliopsida; Brassicales; Brassicaceae
Source: RNAcentral
UAAGCCCGGGCUUUUGAUACGCU